UACGAGGGGGGCAAGCGUUGUUCGGAAUUAUUGGGCGUAAAGGGCGCGUAGGCGGUGCGGUAAGUCUGUUGUGAAAUCUCCGGGCUCAACUCGGAGUCUGCAUCAGAAACUGCCGUGCUCGAGUGUGGGAGAGGUGAGUGGAAUUCCUGGUGUAGCGGUGAAAUGCGCAGAUAUCAGGAGGAACACCGGUGGCGAAGGCGGUUCUCUGGGCCUUACCUGACACUGAGGAGCGAAAGCGUGGGGAGCGAACAGG
Molecule: ribosomal RNA, 253 nt
Filed under: uncultured bacterium
Lineage: Bacteria
Description: partial 16S ribosomal RNA
Rfam family: Bacterial small subunit ribosomal RNA
Source: RNAcentral